RNAcentral lists this long non-coding RNA (8422 nucleotides) under Trifolium pratense (red clover). RNAcentral's name for it is "long non-coding RNA (TPRA_LNC002788)". Lineage: Eukaryota; Viridiplantae; Streptophyta; Magnoliopsida; Fabales; Fabaceae. The record is from RNAcentral.
UGAAACCAUUCUACCAGCAAAAUGGUUUCAGAUUACAACUCUCUGAAACCAUUGUACCAGAUAAAUGGUUUCAGAAGCAAACACAAUUAAUAAAUUACUUAUUGAAACCAUUCUACCAGUAAAAUGGUUUCAGAAUAUAACUAUGUGCAACCAUUCUACCAGUAAAAUGGUUUCAGAAGCAAACAUUAGUUUUUAAUUACCGUUUUAUCUCAUUUAAUUACUUAAAAAUAGUUUCAAGUCUCCAAAAAUUUCAUAAAAUAUACCAAAACUUCCAGAAUAUUAUCUACUAUUUUCCUGGUAUAAUGGUUUCAGUGAGUUGGUUGAGUGGUGCGUGUUAAAUUACAACACACAAGUAACGUAUUUAGUAGACAAAAAAUGAGAUUAAGGUAGUGAAAAAUUGCGUUUUUUUUCGGUGUCCAAUUCAAACGAACCAAGUCUCUAUUUGUAGACAAAAAAAAAUUAUGAAUUUUGGUAAAAAAUAAAAAAAUAAAAAAUUAAUUUACAACGAAAUAAUUGAGUUCAAAGUAUUAAAUGAACAAAAAUCACGCCCAGCCAACCAUUGUGUGACACGUGUCCUACUUUUAAAAAGCAAAUUUUUCUCUCUNNNNCGCGACACUGGAUCUGCGUCUACUAAUGGGUAUUUUGGUUAAUUAAUUAAAAAGAAUGAGUAUUUUGGUCCAAUUGAAAAGGUGCACCUUGCUAACUUAGACCUAACUAGGGUCUAAGUUAGAAAACCCCUUUAUAUAUAUACCGUCAAUGUAAAAUUAUUUUGCAUAUGCAUCUAAUGAUGCUAACACAUCAUGUAUUAUAUUUAUAUACACAUGACGUGUAACAUUCAUUAAAUAAUAUAUCAACAUAAUAUUAGAUACAUAUGUAAAAUAAUUUUAUAUCGACCGUGCAUUGAAAUUAAACUUCAAAAUAAAACAUAAUAAAAAUGAGGAGUGUUCGUUUGAAAAGAAGGAGUGAUGUUUCCGUGCCGACAUCUAAACGCGUACGAGGGCUCCAUUUGAAGCGUGUGAAUCACGUAAUCUUGUGACGCGUGUUGAGUCGUGAUUCCGUAAGAAAAGUACCAUGUGAUACAUUACAUACACAAAUUUUCCUUUCAUGUAAUUUAUUUACGCCAAUUUGGAUUUUGCAUUAAAAUUCUAUCUAAUCUACUACUACCUUGCAAACCACAAAGGACAAAAUUUAAUUAGGCUACUAUUUCUAUUUCUAGACUAGACUAGAAGACAAGAUGCUUUUUCUAUUUCUAUAAUUUUCUUAAAUUUUUUGUGUUAAUGGAUUUGAUGAUCGAAUUCAGGAUCUCUAUCAUACUAUUCAAAUAAUUGUGGUUUAAUCUUAUGAUUUUCAAGAGAAAAUAAUUUUUUUUUUUGUUUACAAUGAGCUGAGAAUUAAACCCAGACUUAUAUCAUACUAUCCAAAUCCCUCACCACUAGAUCAAAUCUAAUGACUUAAGAUAAAAAGAUCUAGUAAUUCAUAGUUUUACUACAAGAUAACUAAAAUCUAACUAAAAAUUAUUUUUAUCAUAAUUUGAACUCGAGUUCUUUCGAAAUAUUCGUCUUAAAAAAAUCGCUUUUAGAUAGAUUUUUGUUGCAUAUAAUUUUCCGAAAUUUAUAAAUGUUUUAAGAGCACAAUAAUUUUGUAAUAUAUACUCGUGAAAAUCAAAUUGUAUAUAUUUUUUCAGCACUGCUAUUUACUAAGAAUUAUCUUUUAACGAAAAUCAAGAAUGGCAAGGUGUUUUAGUUUGAUUGGCUAUAAGUUGUGUAUUUGGCGGAAAAUAAGGAGGUUGUGGGGUUACAUUGCUGAGCCAAAUUCCAUACCAUGUUUGUCGUGUUUUUCAUUUCGUUACAAAAAGCAUUUCUGAUAUUUUUUUGAUAGAAAAAUCAAAUUGUAUAUGUUUUUUACUAGAAAAUUAAAUUAUAUAUUUUAUUUGUCCUAGCAAUUAAUUCACCAUCUAAAAUCUAAUAUCGGUUGAUUUUAUCAUAAAAAAAUAAAUAAAAAAAUGGGUUGAUUUUAGUGAUAGAUUACCCUAAUAACUUAAACAAGUCUCCAGGAUAUACGAUAUUUGACAAUUAUGAAUGGAGACAUUCCAUUUUGAGGAGGGCACAUGCAAGUGUCUCUAACAUGUAAGAGUGAUGAGAUAUAUGAAGUUUAUUUGACUGCUGAAAUGAAAAUAUAUAGAGACGUGAAAAAAGUUGGUCUGAUAAGUUUUAGCAUAGUAGAUUAGUACUACACGAUCCACCUAAUUAAUUUGCUACACGAUCUUCAUAUAUUGUGCUUAUCACGAUUAUUAUGCGGGACUUUACGAUCAUAAAGAGUAUAAUUCACUUGAAUUUAAAUCAUUUCAAGAAUUUUUCACGUCGAAACCUUGUUGCUAGAAGAUUAUGGUGCAACUCUCAUAUUGUCUUACAGGAAGUUCUUCAACUAUCGACACAUUGAACCACACACCUUGAAUUAAUGACAACCAAUGCAUGUGUGUUGUUCUGAAUCUGCUAGCAAUAACUCGUCCUUUUAUAUGGUAUGGCGAAAAUACCAUAAGGACACACUUUAUUUUUUCGAUAAGAUCACCAUCAUCUUCCAAAACAAGGGAGACGUUGCUAGCACUUGGCUCAAAGUUUUUUUUUCCCCAAAUACUACUCCACUUGGACAAUUUCGAUUUACAUACAAAGAUUUUUCACACUUCAGCGUCUUGUAUAAUUUUGAUUGUAACAGUACAUCUUGAUUUGUACUUUCCACAAGUCAAAGUUGAUUCUUCCAUCAAACUUCUCUAUGUCAAACUUUAUAGCACUUUAAUAAGGUAUAACAGCUAUAAUUACAAGACUAUAAACUGUGAACCAAAUAGGUUCACAUAAAAGAGAAGCGGGUCACAAUGGACACGCUUAAAACUAUUUUGCUUUAAUAUUAUCUUCAUAACCAUUUUUGCCUCUGCAAAAAAAAACAUAUUUUUGCCACUAAGUCUAGUCCAAUAUUAAAAGAUUUGAGUAGUAUGUAUGUAGGUCAAAUUUUAUUGGCUCUAAUAUAACAGAAGACAAACAUUUUUCCUUAUUAAAAAAAUAUUUAUAACCAUUUUAUCUAUUUAUAUAUUUUAUGAUUAAUCUUCUUAUAUUUUAUUUAUGCUGGUGUGAAAAUAAUUUACAACUUUCAUAAAAUUAACAAGAUAAAAAAGAAAUCCAAACAAAUUAUAAACUAUUUUGCUUUAACGUCAUAUUUCAACCAUUUUUUUUUUAAUUUACAAUGAAGCUGAAAAUCGAACGUACGAUCUCUAUAAUAUUACCUAAAUUUUUAACUACUAGACUAAACUUACCAGCUUUAUCUCAAUCAUUUUUUAUACUUUUACAAAUUUUCUAAAUCAAAUUUUUACCCCGUACUAGCAGCAACACUUUUUUAGACACAUAAAAUUGUUGCCUAAAAGUUGCCUCAGGCAAUGGUUUAUGGAUGUUGCCAACAAUGUUUUCGCAACCCCUUAUCAAGAGGACCAUUGAAAUUUAAACCCAAUUUGGUCACACACACAUAAUUGAGAAAAAUGUAGAAAGAGAAAAUAAUUAAAUAAUGUGUAUUUUAAAAUAAUUAAAUGAUAUGUGUUAUUAUGUGUGUGUGACCAAAUUGGAUCUAAAUUUUAAUGGUUCAUGCAGGUAUUUUCCCCCUUAUAAAUGUCCUCUAAAUUUAAACUACUACUUUUAGGGACAUUUUUAGAGCGUUACUCUAUUAUUUUUUUGGCAACAAAUUGUUAACCGUCCUCGGAGAUACUUCUGGGGACGUUUUUAAUGCAUCACCAUAUGUUUCUUUGGCAAUACUUGGUUGCACUGUUUUAUUUUUUUUCAUUGUUGCAUAAGAAUUUGAACAACACCAAAUUUUUGUUUCCUCCAAACUUUUUCACAAAAAAAACUUCCCUCCAAACAUUAUAAAUUUUAUUAUUAUUAUUAUUAUUAUUAUUAUUAUUAUUUUUUUUUUUAUAUCUAGAUGUCAAAUUAUAACUAAUUAUUUAACGUCCACAAAUUCUAACUCAACCGACAGAAAUGCGGAAAUUGCUAGUGUCGGACAUCAUGACUGGGGUUCGAAUUCCGAUCACUCCACUUUGUGUGUGUAAAUUUUCAAAAGUUUUGUCAUUUUCGUCUAUUAACAAAAAAAACUAAUGAUUUAAUGUGACACUUUUUUUGGUUACAAAAAACAUAACGCUUAAUUCAAAAAAAAAAAAUACAAAACUAAAAAUUCAUCCUCAAACCCAAAUCCCUUUUAUCAUAGUUUAGGCGACGGCGCGACGCUUAUAAAAAAGUGUGCCCAAAGAAGGAGAAAAAACGUCCUUAAACAGUAGGCAACACUCGCAUAGAAGACACUUGAAAAGUGUCCUCUAUUCUUUUAGGCAACACUUUUCAUGAUUCUGGCAACAAUUUUCACCUCUUGUCAGAGGCAAUAAAUGGUGUAGUGGCAUCUUAUCCUAGGAUCAUAUCUAUUGCUAAAUAGCGAUACAUCGUAUUGCAAUAUAAUUAUCAAAAAAAUUUCUCUCAUGGCCAUUAACAUCCAUUUAUUUUAGUAAUAAAAUUUUGGACCACCUAAAAACUGAGGCGUUAAUACAAAAUUAAUAUAUUUUGGCCCCAAAAAAUUACUAACAUUAAGCGCAUUAGAUCCGGUAGUAUAUGUACUAUAAUCUCCUAUUUUAAAAUCACUCGAUUUUAAUUUCUCAUUAUUUUAACUUAAAAAAUAGAUAUGUUAUAUAUUUUAUAUGAUAUGACAUAUAAUUUGAUGAUGCAACUCCAUUUAAGUUGAUUAUAGUUAUUUAAAUGUCUCAACAAAUAUUGAUUUUUUGUCCCAAAAUUGAUAUUUAAAAAAUCAAUUUUUUUUUGUAUGCCAUGUUCAAAUUUAAAAUUGGCCAAAAAAUUGUCAUUUUGAGGUUAAAAAGGAUAAUUUUUUGAGUAAUUUUUCUUUUUUGGAUAUGGGCAAUAAUUUUAAUGUGUCCCACUCAGUUAGAAAACUCAAAUUUUAGAGUUUAGUUUAGAGAUGUUAAUUAGAUCUAUGAAUAGAGAUUCCCGUGGAAAUUUUCCCGUUUGAAGACCGAAAGACGAAGAAUGUUUCUCUGGACAGAUGGGGAAGGAGAAAAAAAUCCAUCCAAAGGAGAUGUAGAGACGAGGAUGAAAUUUUAUCCCCGUCAUGCAUGCGGAGACUCUGUUCCUGAACACUUUAUUAAAUAAUCUUUGUAUGUGUAUAUUUAACUAUGUUUCUGUAAAAAAAAAAGUAUUUUAUAUGUUAUAUCUUUUUUUAUAUAUAUAGAUAUGUAAUAUCUAUUUAUAUUUUCACACAAUGUGUGCAUAAAUUUAUUUUUAUUGAUGUUUAUUGUUGUCACAACUCACAAGACUAAAUAAUGUUUUUAUUUUAUAUUUGUUUUAUGAUUAAACUUCUUUUACAAUUAGUUUGAUUGAAAAUAAUAGAAAUUUGAUAAUUUUUUUUAAUGUUGAUGGAUCCCCGCGAGAACCGUGGUAGAAUUAAUACAACUAGUUUGACUAAGUAAUUUUUUUUAUAGAGGAAGAAUCAAUACUCUUCGAAGCGGAUAAUGAUGACGGGAAUCAUGAUCAUUUUAAAUGGUGGAAAAUUGUGUGUAAAGUAUUUCCCGCUUAUUCUGUGUCCCGUUGACAUUCCCAGUUUAGUUCGGUACUGAUAUUUUAUAAACAAAAUUCAUUCAAAAUUUAAAUUUAUUUUAAUAUAAAUUAAUGUAAAAUAUAAUAUUUGAGAUUAAAUUUUAUCAACUCUACAUCAUAGUCUUUUGAACCAUCAAUUUUAAUCUCUAUUUCGUUUGAGUAGCCACCAUUAUUUAUUUUUUGACAUUACCCACCAAACCACCACAAAUAUUAUUGCCACAAAUAACAUGUGCUGUUUAUAUAUCUUGUCCUUUAGUGAAAACUAUUAUACAUCCUAUCACGUCUCAUAUAUUUUAUCUUAGUAAAAUUAAUAUUAAAUAUAUUUUUGGUUGUAUUAAUAUGAUUGUUGGAGUCUGUGUGUUUAACUCAGUUGGUAGCUAGAGACAUCACAUAUUUUAUAGAGGAGUUGGAGUCCAAACUCGGACACUCUACUUAUUCACAUAGAAGAGAGGGAAUGAUUUGCGAGUGUCCUUCUCAUUAUUAUAUUUAUUAUUUUCUUAGUUUGAAAUUAAAAUAGCCGCUUAAUAUUUUACUUUGUUGCUUAUUAUUUGGUGAUUUAUGUAUAUCUUUAGGCCAUAGUUAUUAUGUGUGGCUUUAAAAUAUGGUUAGACUACACUGUUAUUGCGUGGUCAGAAACAAUAAACAGUUGCCUAAAGUAUAUAUAGGCCACGGUUAAAAUNNNNNNNNNNNNNNNNNNNNNNNNNNNNNNNNNNNNNNNNNNNNNNNNNNNNNNNNNNNNNNNNNNNNNNNNNNNNNNNNNNNNNNNNNNNNNNNNNNNNNNNNNNNNNNNNNNNNNNNNNNNNNNNNNNNNNNNNNNNNNNNNNNNNNNNNNNNNNNNNNNNNNUUAUUUGAGAUUUUAAUAUUUUUUUUCUUAUUUUUUAUGUCGAUUUAGAGUUUCUAAGACUUUCCUUUUGUGUUUGCUUCACGAUUCUCUCAUCUCUGGUUGCAUAUUUUCUGGAUCUAAACUAAAAAAUUUGGAUUUGUUCCCAAACAACCCGCUUAAACCGCAAACCCGAACCCGCGAAAACGGUUCUUCAUUUUUCGGGUGGAUUGAGCCUUAUUUUUGACUAUGUGGUUUAGACCGAAUGACAACUUUGGGCCAGAACCCGCCCAUAUCCACCCACAAUCCACCCCUGGUCAGAAGCAUCAACGGUUGACUUAAUGUGGAAGAGGAGGCCGUUGUUUUUAAUGUAUGCCAGAAAAUGGGAAAUGGAGGCUUUGGCUAACAUGAAAGGCUUCACCAAGUCUUCUAUGAUGCACAAAUUCUCAAUAUUAUUAUAAUGAAUACAAAUUUUACAAAAUCGACCGUUAGAUUGAAAGAUUAUAUCGUUUAGAUCAUCCAUAAUUUUUUUAAAAAAAGAAAUCGGAAAUCAUAUGAUAUGUUAUUGAGACUAAUCACGAUAGGACAUUUUAAACAAAUGCAGUCAAUAAAUACAGUUUUUAAAUCAUAGUCGCAUGAUCUUGAUUGCACGACUACAAAUAGCGUGACUGCACGACUGCACCAAAAAAGCGACAUCACGGAAUCCGGGUCCCAGAAAAGCGACUGCAUAUCUCCGUCGGGAAAUAUGUGGGAUACACAAGGUUGAUUCUCUCCUCCCAACCAAUUUUUUUUUAUAUGCAUGAGCUAGGAAUCGAACCCCUUAUCACAUGCUUAAGGAAAUCAAAACACUUACCACUUAGAUCACUUCAUUGUUGGUUGGUCCUGUGAUUUCUAAUUUUAUAAUUUUGGUCCUCUUAUUUUUAAAUUUAUGUAAUUAGACCCAUUUAAAUAAUUAAAAGACAGGGGUGGAAUGGAUAGCUCAACUGGUUAAGCUAGUUGAGCAAAGGGUUAAGGAGCAGGAUGUCCAGGGUUCAAAAUGAUUUUGACAAAAAUAAAACGAUACUCAUCCAUUCAAAUUGAUAGAAUACAUUAAAUACAACCACAUAUUGAACAUCGAUAAAAAUAUAAAAGCUAAAUUUGCGAACAUAUUCAGAACAUCCAAGUUAAUAGCAUACAACGACAAAAUGCCUACUACAAAUAAUAUGAUAAAAUUAAGGUGACCAGAAUAUCUAUGUCUUUGGAUCUACAACGUUGAUGUCCAUAUCAUUGAUUAAAUUUAUAAUUAAUUGAAACAACCUCUUAAUAAUAAUCAAACAAACACCACAACAAUAUAAGAAAUCAAAUAGUGUCGCACGAGACGACGAACAACACAACGUCGCACUCAUACGAUGAAAUCAUAAAAAAAAACACAAAAACAAAAAACUUAAUCUAUAUGAAAACCACUUAUUUAUAAAUAAAAGAAGGAAAUAAAAGAUGUAAAUGGAUGAUUCUAAACUAAAAUAACUAAAAAUCACCCGAAUCCCAUGAACAAAGGAGACAAAGGAGAAAUGAACUUUGAAAGAUAGGGAGAAUUUUUUCCCCAAAAGAGCUAGGGCCGGCUUCUAAUUGAUAUUUACUCUAUUCAUUUCAAUUUAUGCCAAAUUUUUUAUUUUAUUUUAUAUUAUAAGAAAUAAUAACUAAUCUUUAUUAUUUUUAAGGUUUAUUUUUAUUUAUGUUCAUAAAAUUUAAUGUAAAUUAUAUUUAAUUUAUUUUUUCUCUUCUUUUUUCAAUAAUUAAUAACCAAUAUUUUUUUUUACAUAUUCCUAUCAACAUUUUUUAAAAGGAAACAUUAAAAGUCAUAUUUCAAAUUAUUAUAUUUUACUUUUUUUAAUAAGUAUGAAUUUGUUAUUGUUUAUAAUAUAGAAUGGAGAGUGUAUUAUAUAAUCCAUAGUAGCAUGGUUAAUUCUAAUGUGAUCCGUGGACGCUAAAAAUA